UGGGGAAUUUUGGACAAUGGGCGCAAGCCUGAUCCAGCAAUGCCGCGUGCAGGAUGAAGGCCUUCGGGUUGUAAACUGCUUUUGUACGGAGCGAAAAGGUCUGCCCUAAUACGGUGGGCUCAUGACGGUACCGUAAGAAUAAGCACCGGCUAACUACGUGCCAGCAGCCGCGGUAAUACGUAGGGUGCGAGCGUUAAUCGGAAUUACUGGGCGUAAAGCGUGCGCAGGCGGUUAUAUAAGACAGAUGUGAAAUCCCCGCGCUCAACCUGGGACCUGCAUUAGUGACUGUAUAGCUAGAGUACGGUAGAGGGGGAUGGAAUUCCGCGUGUAGCAGUGAAAUGCGUAGAUAUGCGGAGGAACACCGAUGGCGAAGGCAAUCCCCUGGACCUGUACUGACGCUCAUGCACGAAAGCGUGGGGAGCAAACA
RNAcentral lists this ribosomal RNA (427 nucleotides) under uncultured bacterium. RNAcentral describes it as "bacterial SSU rRNA". It matches the Rfam family "Bacterial small subunit ribosomal RNA", at positions 355 to 774 of the family's 1533-position model. The record is from RNAcentral.